UGGGGAAUAUUGCACAAUGGAGGGAACUCUGAUGCAGCGACGCCGCGUGAGUGAUGAAGGAAUUCGUUUCGUAAAACUCUGUUCUAUGGGAAGAAAAGGACUGUCCCAUAGGAGAAAGCUCCGGCUAAAUACGUGCCAGCAGCCGCGGUAAUACGUAUGGAGCGAGCGUUGUCCGGAAUUAUUGGGCGUAAAGGGUGCGCAGGCGGCUUUACAAGUUGGAUGUGAAAUAUUGUGGCUCAACCACAAACGUGCAUCCAAAACUGCAAAGCUUGAGUUAAGGAGAGGUAAGUGGAAUUCCUGGUGUAGCGGUGGAAUGCGUAGAUAUCAGGAGGAAUACCGGUGGCGAAGGCGACUUACUGGACUUAAACUGACGCUCAGGCACGAAAGCGUGGGGAGCAAACAGG
This 404-nucleotide ribosomal RNA is filed under the name Fusobacteriota bacterium. RNAcentral describes it as "Fusobacteria bacterium partial 16S ribosomal RNA". It matches the Rfam family "Bacterial small subunit ribosomal RNA", at positions 355 to 776 of the family's 1533-position model. The record is from RNAcentral. Lineage: Bacteria; Fusobacteriati; Fusobacteriota.